Molecule: ribosomal RNA, 496 nt
Filed under: uncultured bacterium
Lineage: Bacteria
Description: partial 16S ribosomal RNA
Rfam family: Bacterial small subunit ribosomal RNA
Source: RNAcentral
AUGAACGCUGGCGGCGUGCCUAAUACAUGCCAGUCGAGCGAACGGACGGGAAGCUUGCUUCUCUGAUGUUAGCGGCGGACGGGUGAGUAACACGUGGAUAACCUACCUAUAAGACUGGGAUAACUUCGGGAAACCGGAGCUAAUACCGGAUAAUAUUUUGAACCGCAUGGUUCAAAAGUGAAAGACGGUCUUGCUGUCACUUAUAGAUGGAUCCGCGCUGCAUUAGCUAGUUGGUAAGGUAACGGCUUACCAAGGCAACGAUGCAUAGCCGACCUGAGAGGGUGAUCGGCCACACUGGAACUGAGACACGGUCCAGACUCCUACGGGAGGCAGCAGUAGGGAAUCUUCCGCAAUGGGCGAAAGCCUGACGGAGCAACGCCGCGUGAGUGAUGAAGGUCUUCGGAUCGUAAAACUCUGUUAUUAGGGAAGAACAUAUGUGUAAGUAACUGUGCACAUCUUGACGGUACCUAAUCAGAAAGCCACGGCUAACUACGUG